GGCCAGCAGCCGCGGUAAUACCGGCGGCUCGAGUGGUGGCCGAUAUUAUUGAGUCUAAAGGGUCCGUAGCUGGCUUUGCAAGUCCCCUGGGAAAUCCAGCGGCUUAACCGUUGGGCUUCCAUGGGAUACUACAUUGCUUGGGACUGGGAGAGGUAGGAGGUACUCAGGGGGUAGGGGUGAAAUCCUGUAAUCCUCUGGGGACCACCGGUGGCGAAGGCGUCCUACCAGAACAGGUCCGACAGUGAGGGACGAAAGCUAGGGGCACGAACCGGAUUAGAUACCCGGGUAGUCCUAGCCGUAAACGAUGCUCGCUAGGUGUCACGGCAGUCGUGAAUUGUCGUGGUGCCGUAGGGAAGCCGUGAAGCGAGCCACUUGGGAAGUACGACCGCAAGGUUGAAACUUAAAGGAAUUGGCGGGGGAU
This 421-nucleotide ribosomal RNA is filed under the name uncultured bacterium. RNAcentral describes it as "bacterial SSU rRNA". It matches the Rfam family "Archaeal small subunit ribosomal RNA", at positions 456 to 876 of the family's 1478-position model. The record is from RNAcentral.